Molecule: long non-coding RNA, 3229 nt
Filed under: Sorghum bicolor (sorghum)
Lineage: Eukaryota; Viridiplantae; Streptophyta; Magnoliopsida; Poales; Poaceae
Description: long non-coding RNA (SBIC_LNC015504)
Source: RNAcentral
AUGCUACCUUUAUUUGCUUUAGUAUAUGUCUAGGUUUGGAGUAGUUUCAUUUAUCUCUUAAAUAAGCAUGGUGCUUAGUUUAGGAAUGAUGAUCUUACUUCCAAGGAAUUUUAAAUUACGCAUGGUGCUUAAGUUAAAAUGCCCUCCUAAAUCAAAUUAGACAUAGUGUCUAGGUUGAUUUUUGAGCCGAUAGUAUGCUAUAGUAGAUAUUGGAUAUUUUGUUGGACUAACCCUGCAGGAAAACUUUCAAUAUCGACAUGGGAAGUCUUGAGAUAAACUCACAUUGGAGACAAAGAGAGAGACACAUGAAGUUUAACAAUUUACACAAGCAAGACAUAGCUCAUAAGAUAUGAUCCAUGGAGGGUGCCACAAACACGAUGCACAACCGCUAAGAAAGGAAGGCUUCCACAAGGUGAUACUGUACCUUCACUCUUCAAGUAAGGACCUAGAUCUACGAGCACAAACACACUGAGCAGGAUGCUGCCAACGUCGCACUUUGGACUGUUGGGCAAACGAAGAAUAUGGAUGACACUGUAUCAAGAGGUGCAGACGUCAAGGUCCACACCUGAAUCAAUUGACGCACCUAAAGAAUGAACACGGUGAGAAGUCUUGAUCAGAAGACUUAAAACAUUAAACCCUCACCGAAAGGUAAAAUCGGUAGUUAUCCAUAUUUAUCCAUUAUGUAUUCCCUUUUUCCUUAAAUUAUUUACUUUCCUUAAAUAGCUUGUUAGUUAAUCAUGCUAUCUUGGAAAGAAAUUAAAACUGUUAAAAAAAGUAAGCCCCAUGUGAGUAUGCUCGUGGCAUAAAACCCAUAAGUACAUUCACUCUGGUGGCGUAAAAAUAAAAAUAUUCCUGUUCUAUAAAAAUGAAAAUAUAAAAAUAAAUUUAUGAUCCUACCAAAGAGAGUAAUAUUUAUUAGAGGAAGCUCAACAUGAUACCGACUAAUAGAUUUUAUGCUAACACUUAACCAGUUCCACAAAGCUUUAUUGUCUAUUUGAGCUCCACAGAAUUCAAGGAUCAAAGAAGACUAGCAGACGGAGGACAUCCUAAUCACUGUCACGGUGCUGUCAACAUUCAAAUACACCUCCGCCAACUGCUAGCUACAUCAGAAGAAAUUACGUCAAAAACUAGCUUGGGGUAGAGCACCCCCAUUUAUCUAGCUAAGUGUUUCUACUCGCGUUUACACUUUACUCAAAUAAUAAAAAGAUGCAUAAUCAUAAAAACCCAAAUAAAGAUUUUGUGCUUAUAUAUAUAUAUAUAUCUUUGCUUAGUUUUCUAAAUAAAUAAAUAAAUAAAGUUUGCUAUGAACCCUCAUGAUAAGCUCUCACAUGGAAAUGAUGAAUAGUUGCUCUGCCAUGACUAGUUCUCAAAAUUAAAAUCUCUCUCAAGUUUACGCAUGACUGUUAUGAAUUAAGAUUUGCUCUAAACCUAAACUUGUGGGAAGAGUACUUGAUCUAAAGUCUAAGUCGUUAACGGAUACGAUAUGAGAAGGUUGAGCUGCUGUUUAUCUGUUCCUAGAGAUACUAGAAUUCUAGAGAAUUUUAUCUUUGAAAAUCUUUAAAAUGUUGCAUGAUGAGUUCCUGUAUGAUGAGAGUUUAAAAUCCUACCACAACCAUAUAUACAUGCUUAUUAGACUAUGAACCAUACAUUUACAUUUUACUACUUAUGAGCAUUAAGUGUGGUCAAUCUGUGUAGACCCUUAGGAGCUUGUCAUGCGGUUAAAAUCAAGAUUCACUUGCACGUUCACUCAUACAUGCUACUUCUACUCCAGAAGUACGCAUCCACAUACAUCCACUCAUUUCCAUCUCCAGAUUCACCCAAAAUUAUUCUACUCCUAUCCGGGAGAGAAUAGCCAAAAACAUUAUCUCAUUCCUGUUUUUCCCUGUGAAAUAAAUGCUUGAGAUAUUUUGGUAACUACCACUUGCUAUAUUAUUCCAAGAGAGAGAGUGCUCUAAAAAAAGAGAGAAGAAAAAGGAAAAAUACGAGGAAAUAAAAAAGGACAAGUGCACGAAACCUCGAAAAGAAAAGUGAGACGAGAGGUAAAAAUGGACAAGUGUCCGACAGUAGAAUUAGGGGUACAAGAUACCCACCUGAGAGAAAAGAAAAAUAAAAUAUGGAGCAUCUCAUUCCCCUCAAAAGCCUCAAGUGCAAGGAAGGUAUGUACCCCGUCAAAAGAGCAAAAGUAGAAUUAGACUUUCACCAUUGUUAUCAUCAUCAUCACCAUACACCAUUCACUCGCCACACAUGCACAUCUUGAUUUGACUUAUUGACUUGUUCUUCUGGAUCCAUGGUUUGACUAUGCAAUAAAUGUCUUGUAAGUAUGUAUACAUUAUCUCCCACCUAUGAGUUCCAGAUAUCAAGCCUUAUUAGAGUAGGGUGAGAGAGAAGGCAAUGUCACUAUGCCUUAUACCACAAAUACCACAUACUUUGAGAGAAGGCAUACACCAUUACUACCUUGGUAAGGAUCCACAAAUACCACAAAAGAGAGACUAGAGAGAGUCAUACAAGGAAUCUCUGAGUUUUAUUUGAAAAUCUGCAAAAAAACUCCAGAGCUAUAGUUGAUCAAGAACAAGAGACAUGGCGCUUGACUUGACCAUUCUAUCCUUUAACUGCUCAAGACACAAGUGACGGUUACAAGCCCAUGGUGGAAGGUAAUAUGAGUAAGUUUAAAUCUUAACAGUUUACCCUAACCCAGAGAUGAGAUCUUGUUUGAACGCAUGUGUACCUUUAAGGCAUGAAAUCACUACAGAAACUCUUGAGUCCAUCCUUGCUCAGAGACGAGCAAGACGUAAGCUUGUGGGAGUUGUUGACGGUCCUUAAGUAUCAAAUUUAAUCAUAAAAUAAAUAAAUAAAAGGAUCCAAAUGCAACCAACACCCAGACUUAUGGUUUUAUGUGACAGAAUUCUACGAGUUUUGGUGUUUCUCUAUUUCUGCAGAGGGUUACCAGGAAAUUUGGAGGAAAGGCCCACACAUCGGGUUUACAUAGAGAUAUUAAUAUGUGCGGCAAUUUUCUAUCAUCUAGAAGACUCCAGAAGCCACGGGAACGAACGGAAGGCCGAGCGAGCCCGGGGACAGGGCGCCCGCCCUGCUCUGACAGCUAAUAAAGCUCCGCCUCGAGGAUUAUGCUCCAACGCUUUUGAGGAUCAAGGAAAACCGUGCGAUUAAGGUCUGUUUGAUUCGACGGCCCACAUUCAUUUAGAGGGGCUACAUAAGCAGGCCCCCUGGCCCC